UCGUAUUUGUCGUUGCUGAACAUUGAUCUAUUUAUUAUAUAUAAGUUGGUCUAGACCAUAUCUAGACUUGUUUGUGUUGAAGUAGUGGAAACAGCUACAUCCACUUAUUUUUUGUGAAAACCGUUUAUCGUAUAACGGAACGUCGUCAGAGGUGACCUUGGUCUCACCUAGUCUACAUUAGACAUUACGGACAUUUUGGUCUAGUGAAGCCGCGUGCAGCAGCAACUGUUGUCGAACUACUGGAUUAGCAGCAGAAGCAGUGAACUAUUUUAGAGAAUCGUUAUUCGUCAGCCCAGAUCAAGUCAUCGUCAAGAAAGUCGUUAUUCGUUCGCCCAGAACAAGUUAUUGUCAAGAGACCGUUACUCGUCAGUAUUUGUCUACACAAAUCAUUCAUAGCCUUGAGAACUAUUAACCUAUUCGUCAGCAGUCGUUUAUAGUCUGCAAAUGAAGUCGUCGCAACUACACAUACGGUCAUCAACAGUCGUCUAAGAAACAGCAGUCGUUUAUAGUCUGCAAAUCAAGUCGUCGCAACUACACAUACGGUCAUCAACAGUCGUCUAAGAAACUGGAGUAUUUUGCUGUGGCAUAUCAAAACAUCUGGGGCAUUACGUGAGAUACUUGACACAGAUCGUAUCCAGUGGCAGUACCGGAGAACAGAGUCGGAAGAGAGGCAGUGGAAUUUGCUGUAGAUCUAUCAUAUUCGGAAUCUGAACAUUGGAAAUCUCCACCUGAUCUUACCAUCUCUUUCUUAUCAUAGCUAAGUGCCAUUUUUCUUAUUAGUAUAUGUUUAGAUUGCCCUUAGAAAUAGGUUUUGGUACGUUAGAUUGAGUACAAUCAGGUGGUGCGCCUUAAACCCAAGUGGAAAAGACGUAAUCUAGACAAAAAGCUAUAAUGAUUAUAAUCAUAUAAUGUAUAUUUAGGAUUGUAAUUGUUUUUGUUUGUAUAAACGUCAUAUCCGUUGUUGCUUGGUUACUUCGUGACGUUAUCACUGUGUGCCAUAUUGUCAUAUCCUAAGUUCCUAACCCAUAGCGAUAAUCUCAUUUAAUUAUUUCAUGUGUGUAUAUUAUAUUAUAUUUUUUAUUUUUAUUAAUUUAAUUAGAUCUGUUAUUUUUUUCACUUAAUGAUAAAAAGUGCAGGUAAGAUUAUUUUAUUGUGAAUCAGACUAAGAUAAAUUUUUAGUUGGAGCGGUUAAAAUCAAAUAUGAUUUUGCCAUGAGAAUAGUUCCGAAACUGGCAUAGUAGUCUAACACUGUCGUCUGGCUAAUUUUAGAUCCACAAAUUCUUGAAUAUUUCAUUUGUACAUCUGGACUACAUAGUUUUGUAUUAAUUUGAAAGUUAAGGAAGAUUACUGCCAGUGGAGAAUAUUUGUGUGAGAUUUAUGAAGUGCCCAUGAAAUGCCACAUUGCUAUGAUGAACUUCGAAAGUAUACAGAGUGCCAAGUGAACAUUGUUAUGAACAUUUAAAUGAACAUUAUUGGAAAUAUGGAUAUGAACAUUGAGAUGAACAUUAGUGCGAACUGUCAAGCCAAGAUAAAGAUGUCAAGAUUUUAUGUUUGUUGUCUUCCCCAUGAAAUGCUAAUGCCCUGUAAGACUUGACAGUAGUAGAAAAAAAUAUUGACAUAUUUUUUUUUCCAAGGGGGGGAGGAAUCUGUUAGGCACCUAGUUUAUAGUAUUAGUUAUAUAGCGACGCACCAUAGAAGACAUAUAUUGAACGGUUUUGGGUUAGAAACUGGACAAUCAGUUAGCAAUAGGAUUCUCUUGGGUAAAGACGUGUUCUAUUUGACAGAGACUUUGACUGUGGCCUUUUAUUGGAUUAAACGUAUUAUUCAUUGUU
This is a long non-coding RNA of Biomphalaria glabrata, 1832 nucleotides long. RefSeq lists it as uncharacterized. The record is from RefSeq and is a predicted model, not a curated record. NCBI's taxonomy places the organism in Eukaryota, Metazoa, Mollusca, Gastropoda, Planorbidae. The transcript has 2 exons.